This 1419-nucleotide ribosomal RNA is filed under the name Triticum aestivum (bread wheat). Its description in RNAcentral is "partial small subunit ribosomal RNA". The record is from RNAcentral. Lineage: Eukaryota; Viridiplantae; Streptophyta; Magnoliopsida; Poales; Poaceae.
AUGGGCACAUGCUUCUCCGUACUGAUUCCUAUGGAAUUAGCCCGACCCGACGAUCAAAUUCUUGGUGGGAAUCAUCAACUUUAUUAUUUUUUAAUAACGACUCGUGCUUUUUUAAUGAUCUUUUUUAUGGUUAUGCCAGUGAUGAUAGGUGGAUGUGGUAAUUGGUUUGUUCUGAUUCUGAUAGGUGCACCUGACAUGGCAUUUCCACGAUUAAAUAAUAUAUCAUUCUGGUUGUUGCCACCAAGUCUCUUGCUCCUAUUAAGCUCAGCCUUAGUAGAAGUGGGCAGCGGCACUGGGUGGACAGUCUAUCCGCCCUUAAGUGGUAUUACCAGCCAUUCUGGAGGAGCAGUUGAUUUAGCAAUUUUUAGUCUUCAUCUAUCAGGUAUUUCAUCAAAUUUAGGUUCUAUCAAUUUUAUAACAACUAUCUUCAACAUGCGUGGACCUAGAAUGACUAUGCAUAGAUUACCACUUUUUGUGUGGUUCAUUCUAGUGACAGCAUUCCUACUUUUAUUAUCACUUCCGGUACUGGCCGGGGCAAUUACAAUGUUAUUAACCGAUCGAAACUUUAAUACAACCUUUUUUGGUCCUGCAGGAGGGGGAGACCCAAUAUUAUACCAGCAUCUCUUUUGGUUCUUCGGUCAUCCAAAGGUGCAUAUUCUCAUUCUACCUGGAUUUAGUAUUAUUAGUCAUAUCGCAUCGACAUUUUCAAGAAAACCGGUCUUCGGGUAUCUAGGCUUGGUUUAUUCCAUGAUAAGUAUAUGUGUUCUUGGAUUUCUAGUUUGGGCUCAUCAUAUGUUUACUGUGGGCUUAGAUGUUGAUACACGUGCCUACUUCACUGCAGCUACCAUGAUCAUAGUUGUGCCCACAGGAAUCAAAAUCUUUAGUUGGAUCGCUACCAUGUGGGGAGGUUCGAUACAAUAUAAAACACCCAUGUUAUUUGUUGUAGGGUCCAUCUUUUUUUUCACCAUAGGAGGGCUCACUGGAAUAGUUCUAGCAAACUCUGGGCUAGACAUUGCUCUACAUGAUACUUAUUAUGUGGUUGCACAUUUCCAUUAUGUACUUUCUAUGGGAGUCGUUUUUGCUUUAUUUGCUGGAUUUUACUAUUGGGUGGGUAAAAUCUUUGGUCGGACAUAUCCUGAAACUUUAGGCCAAAUCCAUUUUUGGAUCACUUUUUUUGGGGUUAAUCUGACCUUCUUUCCCAUGCAUUUCCUAGGGCUUUCGGGUAUGCCACGUCGCAUUCUAGAUUAUCCAGAUGCUUACCCCGGAUGGAAUGCUCUGAGCAGUUUCAGUUCUUAUAUAUCCGUAGUUGGGAUUCGUCGUUUCUUCGUAGUUGUCGCAAUCACUUCAAGCAGUGGAAAGAACCAAAAAUGUGCGGAAAGUCCUUGGGCUGUUGAACAGAAUCCAACCACACUAGAAUGA